GGCGCCAUGGCUUAGUUGGAAAAGCGCCUGUCUAGUAAACAGGAGAUCCUGGGUUCAAAUCCCAGUGGUGCCU
Molecule: transfer RNA, 73 nt
Filed under: Petromyzon marinus (sea lamprey)
Lineage: Eukaryota; Metazoa; Chordata; Hyperoartia; Petromyzontiformes; Petromyzontidae
Description: tRNA-Thr (AGT) (tRNA-Thr-AGT-10-1)
Rfam family: tRNA
About the family: Transfer RNA (tRNA) molecules are approximately 80 nucleotides in length. Their secondary structure includes four short double-helical elements and three loops (D, anti-codon, and T loops).
Source: RNAcentral